Molecule: ribosomal RNA, 468 nt
Filed under: uncultured bacterium
Lineage: Bacteria
Description: partial 16S ribosomal RNA
Rfam family: Bacterial small subunit ribosomal RNA
Source: RNAcentral
GACGAACGCUGGCGGCGUGCUUAACACAUGCAAGUCGAACGGAAAGGCCCUGCUUUUGUGGGGUGCUCGAGUGGCGAACGGGUGAGUAACACGUGAGUAACCUGCCCUUGACUUUGGGAUAACUUCAGGAAACUGGGGCUAAUACCGGAUAGGAGCUCCUGCUGCAUGGUGGGGGUUGGAAAGUUUCGGCGGUUGGGGAUGGACUCGCGGCUUAUCAGCUUGUUGGUGGGGUAGUGGCUUACCAAGGCUUUGACGGGUAGCCGGCCUGAGAGGGUGACCGGCCACAUUGGGACGGACAUACGGCACAGACUCCUCGGGGAGGCAGCAGUGGGGAAUAGUGCACAAUGGACGGAAGCCUGCUGGAGCAACGCCGCGUGCGGGAUAACGGCCUUCGGGUUGUAAACCGCUUGCGCAUGUGACGAAGCGUGAGUGACGGUAAUGGGUAAAGAAGCACCGGCUAACUACGUG